RNAcentral lists this ribosomal RNA (404 nucleotides) under actinobacterium SCGC AAA278-N15. Its description in RNAcentral is "bacterial SSU rRNA". It matches the Rfam family "Bacterial small subunit ribosomal RNA", at positions 353 to 769 of the family's 1533-position model. The record is from RNAcentral. Lineage: Bacteria; Bacillati; Actinomycetota; Actinomycetes.
AGUGGGGAAUAUUGGGCAAUGGAGGAAACUCUGACCCAGCGACGCCGCGUGCGGGAUGAAGGCCUUCGGGUUGUAAACCGCUUUCAGUAGGGAAGAAGCGAAAGUGACGGUACCUACAAAAGAAGCACCGGCUAACUAUGUGCCAGCAGCCGCGGUAAUACAUAGGGUGCAAGCGUUGUCCGGAAUUAUUGGGCGUAAAGAGCUCGUAGGUCGUUUGUUACGUCGGAUGUGAAAACCUGAGGCUCAACCUCAGGCCUGCAUUCGAUACGGGCAAACUAGAGUUUGGUAGGGGAGACUGGAAUUCCUGGUGUAGCGGUGGAAUGCGCAGAUAUCAGGAGGAACACCAAUGGCGAAGGCAGGUCUCUGGGCCAAUACUGACACUGAGGAGCGAAAGUCUGGCGAGC